RNAcentral lists this ribosomal RNA (439 nucleotides) under uncultured bacterium. RNAcentral's name for it is "bacterial SSU rRNA". It matches the Rfam family "Bacterial small subunit ribosomal RNA", at positions 338 to 793 of the family's 1533-position model. The record is from RNAcentral.
CCUACGGGAGGCAGCAGUGGGGGAUAUUGCACAAUGGGGGGAACCCUGAUGCAGCGACGCCGCGUGGGUGAAGGAGCGUUUCGGCGCGUAAAGCCCUAUCGGCAGGGAAGAAGGAGGACGGUACCUGACUAAGAAGCCCCGGCUAACUACGUGCCAGCAGCCGCGGUAAUACGUAGGGGGCAAGCGUUAUCCGGAUUUACUGGGUGUAAAGGGGGCGCAGACGGCAGCGCAAGCCAGGAGUGAAAGCCCGGGGCCCAACCCCGGGACUGCUCUUGGAACUGCGCGGCUGGAGUGCAGGAGGGGCAGGCGGAAUUCCUGGUGUAGCGGUGAAAUGCGUAGAUAUCAGGAGGAACACCGGUGGCGAAGGCGGCCUGCUGGACUGCGACUGACGUUGAGGCCCGAAAGCGUGGGGAGCAAACAGGAUUAGAUACCCCUGUAG